CCUUCCCUAUCCACUUACCGGAGGGGUCUCACUCUGACUCUAGAGCAUUGCAUUCCUCUCCUCUUUCUUUCCAUGGCCAUGGCGUCCGCUUCUCUAUCGUCGGCCUUGAAUCAACAACACCUCUUCAAUCUACCCAAACAGUGCUCAAUUCUUAAUCUUAGAUUCUUCUCCUCCACGUCAUGCUACUCCCUCAAUCCUUCGCCAUGUCGCGUCUUUUUCCGCCGCCGCGUGCACGCGCUGAGCUCCUCUUCGGUUUUUUCCCGAAGCUACUCCAAGUGCCAGAAUAGAUAUCCAGAUUACGGUGGCAGGAAGUUUUCCCAAGUUCCGAAUCUCCGCCAUUUCAUGCCCAGGGCCACUGCCGCAGUCGCCGACGGCGGCGUUUCCGGUCCCCAGGUCGACCCUACAAUUGAGUCGGGUGUUUCUCCAAGAGGUAGGAUAUACCAUGAAACUUAUGGAUGCCAGAUGAAUGUCAAUGAUAUGGAAAUUGUCCUAUCCAUCAUGAAGAAAGCUGGAUUUGGUGAAGUGGUGGAGACUCCUGAGGCUGCGGAGAUCAUAUUUAUAAAUACAUGUGCUAUCAGAGACAAUGCAGAACAGAAGGUGUGGCAGAGGCUUAAUUAUUUUUGGUUUCUGAAACGGCAUUGGAAAAGUAAUGUUGCUACGGGGAGGUCGCAGUCCGUCCAUCCUCCAAAAGUUGUUGUGCUUGGAUGCAUGGCUGAGAGGCUUAAGGAUAAGAUUUUGGAUGCAGAUAAGAUGGUUGACGUUGUUUGUGGGCCUGAUGCAUAUCGAGAUUUGCCACGGUUAUUGGAAGAGGUUGAUUCAGGUCAUAAAGGGAUCAACACCCUCCUCUCACUUGAAGAGACUUAUGCCGAUAUCAAUCCUGUGCGCAUCUCAAAGAAUUCGAUUAGUGCAUUUGUCUCCAUAAUGAGGGGUUGCAACAAUAUGUGCUCUUUUUGCAUAGUUCCUUUUACCAGAGGCAGAGAGCGAUCGCGUCCUGUGGAAUCCAUAGUUACAGAAGUAGCCGAGCUUUGGAAAGAAGGUGUAAAAGAGGUAACUCUCCUGGGGCAAAAUGUAAAUAGUUAUAAUGAUACAUCUGUUGUUGAAGAGAUUGGAUCAGGAGUCGACUGGAAAUACAGUGAUGGAUUUUCCAGCCUGUGCAAAGUCAGGAAUAUCGGUCUACGCUUUGCCGAUUUACUUGAUAGACUGGCAGUUGAGUUUCCGGAUAUGCGAUUCAGAUACACUUCUCCACACCCUAAAGAUUUCCCUAAUGAGUUGAUAUAUAUCAUGCGAGAUAGGCAUAAUAUCUGCAAGAGCAUCCAUUUACCUGCACAGUCAGGCAGCAGCGCGGUACUAGAAAGGAUGCGCAGGGGAUAUACCCGAGAAGCAUACUUAGAUCUUGUUGAGAAGAUACGUUCUAUAAUUCCAGAUAUUGGGAUAAGCAGUGAUUUCAUAUGUGGCUUUUGUGGGGAGACAGAAGAAGACCACCAGCAAACCUUAAGCCUAGUACGGGCUGUUGGCUAUGAUAUGGCAUUCAUGUUUGCUUACAGCAUGAGGGAAAAAACACAUGCACACAGAAACUAUGUUGAUGAUAUUCCUGAUAAAGUAAAGCAGAGAAGGUUAACAGAACUUAUUGAAGCUUUUCGGGAAAGCACAGGUCAAUGCUAUGACUCCAAAAUCGGAUCUGUCCAACUAGUCUUGGUUGAAGGGCCAAACAAGAGAGCGCCCGACUCAGAGCUUAUCGGCAAGAGUGAUAGGGGCCACAGGGUAUCAUUUACAAAUCUUCCAGUCCCCGAUAAAAACAAUAAUGGUGUGAACCGCAAUCCAAAUGUUGGCGAUUAUGUUGAAGUUCAGGUAUCAAAAUCUACUAGGGCAUCUCUUCAUGGAGAAGCACUUGCCAUCACCAAAUUGAGCUCGUUCUAUGCUGAUAUGCACGAAGAAGUUUCCACUUGUGUAAAUGUAUCUUAGGACAAGAUGUUGCAACCCCUUCUAUUUCACAAGGACGAAUUUCUCACCUGAUCAAAAUGUGUACGAGUGCAAGCAAGUGGGUUGUGAAUUUAGCGCCAAUAUGACUAUCCACCUCAUUGUUCUUAGAUUAGAUGGGGUUUGGCUUCUGGUAAUAGCUUCUGUCAAGCAACCCUUCUGGAUGCAGCAGUACCUGUUGCUGAUCACUAAAUGAAGACUUAUCAUGUUUCCUGCUUCUCGCCGAGACAGCAGGUGCUUACUUUCAAGGCAGUAAAUAUAUUAAAAUAUAUUGUGUCUUCGUUGCUUCUAAUACAGCAGGUGCUUACUUUCAAGGCAGUAAAUAUAUUAAAAUAUAUUGUGUCUUCGUUGCUUCUAAUACAUAGACAUUGUAACUGCCUUGAAGGUUCGAACUUCUUACAGGAAGCCUCCUCCUCGGUCUGAUCCCUGAUUGCUCCUCACUUGAAGGAUUGAUAUUUAUCGCUUCUAUAUUAUGUCUUUUACUGGUUGUAUUUUGCAGAUUGAAUAACCAAAGACGACUCAACUAUCAUUUCAAUGGCCAAUAGAUGGUCAGAUAUUCCAGGAAGUAGCGCAACGUACAUACAGUAAAAAAAGAAAAAGAGGAAAAGAAGAAAAAAAAAAAAAAAAGGAAUGAUGGAGAAGAAGAACGGAAAGAAGCGAAAAAAUUGAAGAAAGAAGAAGGAUGGAGAAGAGGAAGAAGAGCUCAAAGAGGGCAAGAAAGAAGAAGGAAGAAAGAGAAAAUAAAGAAAUUGAAGAAAGAAGAAGGAUGGAGAAGAGGAAGAAGAGCUCAAAGAGACCAAGAAAGAAGGAGAAAAUAGAAAGAAAGAAGAAUUAGGAUGUUUUGGCUGGGGCAAUUUGCAUUUGUGGAGUGGGUUAGAUUUUUUUUUUUGGUUAUUUUUAACUUUUUAAUUUUUAUUAAUUAUAUACUAUUACACGUACAAUUAAUGCAAAAAUAUUAAAAUCUCUUA
RNA transcript from Andrographis paniculata, 2945 nucleotides. It is a transcript of the gene named CDK5RAP1-like protein, with no coding region annotated. NCBI's taxonomy places the organism in Eukaryota, Viridiplantae, Streptophyta, Magnoliopsida, Lamiales, Acanthaceae. The transcript has 4 exons. The record is from RefSeq and is a predicted model, not a curated record.